RNAcentral lists this ribosomal RNA (494 nucleotides) under uncultured bacterium. Its description in RNAcentral is "partial 16S ribosomal RNA". It matches the Rfam family "Bacterial small subunit ribosomal RNA", at positions 28 to 507 of the family's 1533-position model. The record is from RNAcentral.
GACGAACGCUGGCGGCGCGCUUAACACAUGCAAGUCGAACGGAAAGGCCUGCUUUCCCUUGUGGAUUGCGGGUACUCGAGUGGCGAACGGGUGAGUAACACGUGAGUGAUCUGCCCCCAACUUGGGUAUAAGCCUGGGAAACUGGGUCUAAUUCCCGAUAGGACUGCAGGGUGGUGCCUGUGGUGGAAAACGAUUUUCUAGUGGUUGGGGAUGAGCUCGCGGCCGAUCAGCUUGUUGGUGGGGUAAUGGCCUACCAAGGCGGCGACGGGUAGCCGGCCUGAGAGGGUGGACGGCCACAUUGGGACUGAGAUACGGCCCAGACUCCUACGGGAGGCAGCAGUGGGGAAUAUUGCACAAUGGGCGGAAGCCUGAUGCAGCGACGCCGCGUGGGGGAUGACGGCCUUCGGGUUGUAAGCUCCUUUCGACCGCGAGGAAGCCACCUGGUUGGAAGGGUGGUGACGGUAGUGGUAGAAGAAGCACCGGCUAACUACGUG